AACUAUGCCUGGUCAGAACGAAGUCAGGGGAAACUCUGAUGGAGGUUCGUAGCGAUUCUGACGUGCAAAUCGAUCGUCGGAACUGGGUAUAGGGGCGAAAGACUAAUCGAACCAUCUAGUAGCUGGUUCCCUCCGAAGUUUCCCUCAGGAUAGCUGGCGCUUGAUUAAAUCAGUCUCAUCCGGUAAAGCGAAUGAUUAGAGGCCUUGGGGCCGAAACGACCUCAACCUAUUCUCAAACUUUAAAUGGGUGAGAAGUCAGGCUUGCUUAAUCGAAGCUCUGACAAUGGAUGGUGAGUGCCAAGUGGGCCACUCUUGGUAAGCAGGACUGGCGCUGUGGGAUGAACCAAACGUUGGGUUAAGGCGCCCGAAUCGACGCUCAUCAGAUCCCAUAAAAGGCGUUGGUGCUAAGACAGCAGA
RNAcentral lists this ribosomal RNA (417 nucleotides) under Folsomides parvulus. RNAcentral's name for it is "partial 28S ribosomal RNA". It matches the Rfam family "Eukaryotic large subunit ribosomal RNA", at positions 829 to 1244 of the family's 3401-position model. Lineage: Eukaryota; Metazoa; Arthropoda; Collembola; Entomobryomorpha; Isotomidae. The record is from RNAcentral.